Molecule: ribosomal RNA, 253 nt
Filed under: uncultured bacterium
Lineage: Bacteria
Description: partial 16S ribosomal RNA
Rfam family: Bacterial small subunit ribosomal RNA
Source: RNAcentral
GACAGAGGGUGCAAACGUUGUUCGGAAUUACUGGGCGUAAAGCGCGUGUAGGCUGCUUGGAAAGUCGGAUGUGAAAGCCCUGGGCUCAACCCAGGAAGUGCACUCGAAACUUCCGAGCUCGAGUUCUGGAGAGGAUAGCGGAAUUCUCGGUGUAGAGGUGAAAUUCGUAGAUAUCGAGAGGAACCCCGGUGGCGAAGGCGGCUAUCUGGACAGAAACUGACGCUGAGACGCGAAAGCGUGGGGAGCAAACAGG